This 114-nucleotide non-coding RNA is filed under the name Arthrobacter sp. RNAcentral describes it as "SAM-IV sequence". It matches the Rfam family "SAM (S-adenosyl methionine) riboswitch aptamer". Rfam says of the family: SAM-IV is a mRNA element that regulates gene expression via direct sensing of S-adenosylmethionine (SAM or AdoMet). SAM-IV riboswitches share conserved nucleotide positions with the previously described SAM-I riboswitches sequence analysis and molecular recognition experiments suggest that SAM-I and SAM-IV riboswitches share similar ligand binding sites, but have different scaffolds. The record is from RNAcentral. Lineage: Bacteria; Bacillati; Actinomycetota; Actinomycetes; Micrococcales; Micrococcaceae.
AAUCAAGAGUUCCAACGCAAAACCCUGGUUUGUUGGACGGCAACCCUCUCGCUGUAGCGGGGUGCCCCAGGUGAGGAUUCGGCCCGUCAUGCACCGUGCGGGCAAGUAUGGCGC